RNAcentral lists this non-coding RNA (137 nucleotides) under Nitrospirillum amazonense. The record is from RNAcentral. Lineage: Bacteria; Pseudomonadati; Pseudomonadota; Alphaproteobacteria; Rhodospirillales; Azospirillaceae.
CCCCUGCCUACCAUCCACGGAUCGCCCGCGCAUGGGGGAAGCCGGUGCAAAUCCGGCACGGUCGCGCCACUGUAACCGAACGCCCGGGCCUUUCCAGGGCGUGCGGAAGCCAGACCCCCCGUCGCAUGACACAGACC